RNAcentral lists this ribosomal RNA (472 nucleotides) under uncultured bacterium. RNAcentral's name for it is "partial 16S ribosomal RNA". It matches the Rfam family "Bacterial small subunit ribosomal RNA", at positions 28 to 507 of the family's 1533-position model. The record is from RNAcentral.
GACGAACGCUGGCGGCGUGCUUAACACAUGCAAGUCGAACGCUGAAGCUUGGUGCUUGCACUGGGUGGAUGAGUGGCGAACGGGUGGGUAAUACGUGAGUAACCUGCCCUUGACUCUGGGAUAAGCCUGGGAAACUGGGUCUAAUACUGGAUACGACAUGUCACCGCAUGGUGGUGUGUGGAAAGGGUUUUACUGGUUUUGGAUGGGCUCACGGCCUAUCAGCUUGUUGGUGGGGUAAUGGCUCACCAAGGCGACGACGGGUAGCCGGCCUGAGAGGGUGACCGGCCACACUGGGACUGAGACACGGCCCAGACUCCUACGGGAGGCAGCAGUGGGGAAUAUUGCACAAUGGGCGGAAGCCUGAUGCAGCGACGCCGCGUGAGGGAUGACGGCCUUCGGGUUGUAAACCUCUUUCAGCACGGAAGAAGCGAAAGUGACGGUAAGUGCAGAAGAAGCGCCGGCUAACUACGUG